Small nuclear RNA from Cebus imitator (Panamanian white-faced capuchin), 107 nucleotides. The record is from Ensembl. Lineage: Eukaryota; Metazoa; Chordata; Mammalia; Primates; Cebidae.
GUCCUUGCUUCAGCAGUACAUAUGUUAAGACUGAAACAAUACAGAGAAGAUUAGCAUGGGCUGUAAGCAAGGAUGACAUGCAAAUUCUUGAAGCAUUUCAUUUUUUG